UUUCCACAUAACUUUUCUAAAAGCUGGCAAUGUUAUACGCAUGGGAUAAAAUAACAUUAGACCAUUGUCAAUUGAGAUGGAGUAACCAUUUCAUCUCUUCUGCAUGCAUGGUCUAGACAGAU
This 122-nucleotide small nucleolar RNA is filed under the name Myotis davidii. Its description in RNAcentral is "Small nucleolar RNA SNORA20". It matches the Rfam family "Small nucleolar RNA SNORA20". From Rfam's summary of the family: ACA20 is a member of the H/ACA class of snoRNA that guide the sites of modification of uridines to pseudouridines. The record is from Rfam by way of RNAcentral. Lineage: Eukaryota; Metazoa; Chordata; Mammalia; Chiroptera; Vespertilionidae.